CCCAUGUGCAGAAGACCUAAUAUAUGGAGUCUUAGUUCAUUAAUUGCAUAGAAAAGAAAGGAUCUAGGGGCAGUUGGAAAUACACUACGCAUGAACUUUGCACAGCAAGGGAAAACAAAACUGCUUCCAGAUUUUGAUCGUUCAGAGACUCUACGCAAAGGAAAGGCAUUGGUUUGAUUGUUCGUGGCUCUCGUUCGGCUUCGAGAGUACGAGAUCAGUACCACUUCUGCACCUCGACAUUGAUCCCGAGGCUAUCUGCGGAGUUUGUUAGGGUGAGCUUAUUGGACGAGUCCGCCACCCCUGGGAUUCCUUCUUUACUACUUGUCUUACUUUAAUCUUUAGACAGUAUUUCUAGUUUUGAGACUCACAUAUUAUUCAGACACGUUGAUUAGUGGCUCUUGUACUACAUCUGACCAUUUUCCUUGGGUGGUAUUUAGAAUUGAGAA
This is a long non-coding RNA of Lycium barbarum (goji berry), 446 nucleotides long. RefSeq lists it as uncharacterized. The transcript has 3 exons. Lineage: Eukaryota; Viridiplantae; Streptophyta; Magnoliopsida; Solanales; Solanaceae. The record is from RefSeq and is a predicted model, not a curated record.